Molecule: ribosomal RNA, 462 nt
Filed under: uncultured bacterium
Lineage: Bacteria
Description: partial 16S ribosomal RNA
Rfam family: Bacterial small subunit ribosomal RNA
Source: RNAcentral
GAUGAACGCUGACAGAAUGCUUAACACAUGCAAGUCGAUGGGGAAGUGGUGCUUGCACCAUGGUAACCAUGGCGGACGGGUGAGUAACGCGUAAGGAACUUGCCUGCGGGACUGGGAUAACAGCAGGAAACUGCUGAUAAUACCGGAUAAGGUCAUUAAGCUGCAUAGCUUAGUGAUGAAAGGAGACGCCUGCGGAGAGCCUUGCGUCCUAUUAGCUAGUUGGAGGGGUAACGGCCCACCAAGGCGAAGAUAGGUAGCCGGCCUGAGAGGGUGGACGGCCACAAGGGGACUGAGAUACGGCCCUUACUCCUACGGGAGGCAGCAGUGGGGAAUAUUGGACAAUGGGGGCAACCCUGAUCCAGCAAUGCUGUGUGCACGAAGACGGUUUUCGGAUUGUAAAGUGCUUUCAGCAGGGAAGAAGGAAGUGACGGUACCUGCAGAAGAAGCGACGGCUAAAUACGU